CCUACGGGGGGCAGCAGUGAGGAAUAUUGGUCAAUGGACGAGAGUCUGAACCAGCCAUGCCGCGUGAAGGAUGACUGCCCUAUGGGUUGUAAACUUCUUUUAUAUGGGAAUAAACUGUUCCACGUGUGGGAUUUUGUAUGUACCAUAUGAAUAAGGAUCGGCUAACUCCGUGCCAGCAGCCGCGGUAAUACGGAGGAUCCGAGCGUUAUCCGGAUUUAUUGGGUUUAAAGGGAGCGUAGGUGGUUUGUUAAGUCAGUUGUGAAAGUGUGCGGCUCAACGGUAAAAUUGCAGUUGAUACUGUCAGUCUUGAGUACAGUAGAGGUGGGCGGAAUGCGUGGUGUAGCGGUGAAAUGCUUAGAGAUCACGAAGAACUCCGAUUGCGAAGGCAGCUCACGGGACUGCAACUGACACUGAGGCACGAAAGUGUGGGUAUCAAACAGGAUUAGAUACCCGAGUAGUC
RNAcentral lists this ribosomal RNA (460 nucleotides) under uncultured bacterium. Its description in RNAcentral is "partial 16S ribosomal RNA". It matches the Rfam family "Bacterial small subunit ribosomal RNA", at positions 338 to 795 of the family's 1533-position model. The record is from RNAcentral.